RNAcentral lists this long non-coding RNA (289 nucleotides) under Ananas comosus (pineapple). RNAcentral describes it as "long non-coding RNA (ACOM_LNC006919)". The record is from RNAcentral. Lineage: Eukaryota; Viridiplantae; Streptophyta; Magnoliopsida; Poales; Bromeliaceae.
CAUGUAAAUAAUUUUUAAAAUUUAUGAAAUUUAGUUUCUAGAUAUUUCAAAUACUCUAGAUCAACUUCAACGGCUCCGAUCAUCGAUUCGGAAUCUCUAUCAUCAAGAACAAUUUGAUAGGACAAGUGCUACUAUCCUAUUAAUAGGACAGUAGCCCUGGCCUAUAUAUAUAUAUAUAUAUAUAUAGACAGAGAGAGACAGAGAGAGAGAGAGAACUAGGAUGGAAUAAUAUUAAUAGCACCAAUGACUUGGUGCUAUUAAGUUUUCUGCCCUUGGAUUAAAAGAUGUG